Long non-coding RNA from Drosophila simulans, 726 nucleotides. RefSeq lists it as uncharacterized. The record is from RefSeq and is a predicted model, not a curated record. The transcript has 2 exons. Lineage: Eukaryota; Metazoa; Arthropoda; Insecta; Diptera; Drosophilidae.
GGUUAAGCUCCCCGAUUGAUUUUCUCUCGUGCCACCGACGCAUCAAUUACGCUGGCCUGGCAUUAAUUAUCGUCUGGCGUAUGCAUUUGCUGGGCUUACCUUAUGCCCGUUAUGCCUCAGGGUUGCCAUGUGUUUGCCGUGGAAGGGGUGGCGACCCCAGGAAGGGAUGGGGCCUUCUUCCGAAGCGGGGUUGGGACCGCUUAUCGUUGUUUGCCUUUUAAUUUUUAUUGCUUUUGGCGUGCAGGAGCGGGAGGGGGAGCGCGGAGCGCACCCCACAACUGUUUGUUCAACGCUCAACAUACUGAAUAUGCUAUUUUCGUGUUCAUAUUCCACAUGCAUCACAGUCCCCGGAUAAAGACCAAAGACCCGGGCGACACUCAUACACACCCAGAAGCACAGACAGAAUACUGGGAAGUAUCUUUCAUUAUUGUUAAGCAAUGACUAUGAUCAGUUUUGUAAACUUAACAUAACCAGGAACUGGUGCAAAUGAGGUAACUAUAUAUUGCAAUUACCCAUUUAUUAUUGGACAUGGUUUCUUACAGUGUAGAAUUGCAGCUGAUUUGUGCUUAUUCUUCCGUCCAUUCGUUUAACACUCCUGUGAUUGGGUCAAUUGCAUUUGUUGUUCUUGCAUCUUGGCUAUCUUCCUUUCCCCUUCAUUCCCCCUUAUCAACGCUAUUGCCACUUCCUUCGUUGCACUACAUCCGUGCGGCUUUCGAGAUUUGUUUG